GGAGGCGGCUCUACACGGGAGGGAGCACUGACGGGAAGCGGAAGUCGAAAACCCAUCACCUGAAAACGUCAACGGGCAGGGACUUUCUCUCUGCCCAUAAUGUGAGUAGAGCCGGCUGGGCGAGUGCUUGGUGUUGGCGGAGCUGUAUGCUGCAAUUGAUACGUACGCUGCCGUGAUUGCUCUUCCUGUUUUUAUUGAAAGAAUUAAAACUACGUUACUCUCUGAACCCCGGUAUAAAGCAAGACCAUUAGGUUGCGCAUGAGGUUCGUUCUGACUGACAAGAGGCACCGCCGCAUCCUCCUGAGCUCCUUCACGCUGGGCUCGAGGAGGAGGAGGAGGAGGAGGAGGAGGAAGAGGAGGAAAUCUGCGGGAC
Long non-coding RNA from Betta splendens (Siamese fighting fish), 373 nucleotides. RefSeq lists it as uncharacterized. Lineage: Eukaryota; Metazoa; Chordata; Actinopteri; Anabantiformes; Osphronemidae. The transcript has 3 exons. The record is from RefSeq and is a predicted model, not a curated record.